This is a long non-coding RNA of Lynx canadensis (Canada lynx), 343 nucleotides long. RefSeq lists it as uncharacterized. The record is from RefSeq and is a predicted model, not a curated record. The transcript has 3 exons. NCBI's taxonomy places the organism in Eukaryota, Metazoa, Chordata, Mammalia, Carnivora, Felidae.
ACCUACAGAUUCAAUGCAAUCUCUCAAAAUUCCAAUGGCAUUUUUAAAAAACAACCCUAAAAUUUGUAUGGGACCCCGAAAGGCUCCAAACAGCCAACACAAUCUUGAGAAAGAACAAAGCUGGAGGCCUCAUGCUCCUUAAUUUCAAACUAUAUUAUUACAAAGCUAUAGUAAUCGAGUAUUGGCAUAAAUACAGACCUAGAUUAAUGGCACAGAAUAGCCUAGAAAUAAACCAAUGAAUGUAUGGUCAGUUAAUUUACGACAAAGGAGACAAGAAUAUAUAAUCAAGAAAAGACAGUGUAUUCAAUAAUUGCUGUUGGGAAAAUUAGACAGCUCCAUGCUA